GCGAAGGGGGAAUACGCGUAGGUAACCUGCCUCAUAGCGGGGGAUAACUAUUGGAAACGAUAGCUAAGACCGCAGAAGAGUAAUUAACACAUGUUAGUUAUUUAAAAGGAGCAAUUGCUUCACUGUGAGAUGGACCUGCGUUGUAUUAGCUAGUUGGUGAGGUAAAGGCUCACCAAGGCGACCAUACAUAGCCGACCUGAGAGGGUGAUCGGCCACACUGGGACUGAGACACGGCCCAGACUCCUACGGGAGGCAGCAGUAGGGAAUCUUCGGCAAUGGACGGAAGUCUGACCGAGCAACGCCGCGUGAGUGAAGAAGGUUUUCGGAUCGUAAAGCUCUGUUGUUAGAGAAGAACGUUGGUAGGAGUG
RNAcentral lists this ribosomal RNA (368 nucleotides) under Streptococcus agalactiae. RNAcentral describes it as "bacterial SSU rRNA". It matches the Rfam family "Bacterial small subunit ribosomal RNA", at positions 98 to 463 of the family's 1533-position model. The record is from RNAcentral. Lineage: Bacteria; Bacillati; Bacillota; Bacilli; Lactobacillales; Streptococcaceae.